Molecule: long non-coding RNA, 2722 nt
Organism: Sapajus apella (tufted capuchin)
Lineage: Eukaryota; Metazoa; Chordata; Mammalia; Primates; Cebidae
Exons: 2
Source: RefSeq, a predicted model, not a curated record
UCAGGGCUGCGUCCACACGGCUACUGGCCACGGGGGCCCACACAGUACGGCGCACAGGUACCAAACACAAGUACGGCACACAAUACGCGCGCAGGUACUGCACACAAGUACUGCCCACACCGUAGGUGUGGCCUGCAGUGCCGCAUCCACACAGCCACUGCCCACAGGGACUGCACAGCCUACUGCACAAAGGUACCAAACACAGAUACUGCACACAAGUACUGCCUGCACAAGUACUGCCACAGAGACUGCACAAAGUACCGCCCACUGCACAAAAUACCACCCACACCAUAGGUGUGGCCUACAGAGCUGCACCCACAGAGGCACUGCCCAUAGCGACUGCACACAGUUACCAAACACAGAUAUCACACAAAGUACCCAACACAGCACUGUACAUAGGUAUUGCACGCAGUACCCAACACAGCAUCAUGUAUGAGUACUGCACACAAGUACUGCCCACAGGGACUGCACACAGCACCAUACAUAAUACUGAACACAGUACUGCACACAGGUGUAGCCUACAGUGCUGUACCCACCCUGGCACUGCCCACAGAGACUACACACAGGUAUCACACACAAGUAUGGCCUGCAGUGCUGCAACCACAUGGGCACUGGUCACAGGAACCACACACAGUACCAAACACAGGUACUGCACACAGGUAUCAAACUCAGUACCAAAUUCAGGUACCACACACAGGUACCAAACACAGUACCACACACAAGUACAGCCUGCAGUGCUGCACCCACACAGACACUGCCCACAGGGACCACACAAGGUACCAAUCACAGGUACUGUGCACAGGCACCAAGCACAGUACCAAAUGCAGUACUGAACACAAUACCAAACACAGUACUGCACACAGGUAUGGCCUGUAGAGCUGCACUCAGGCACUGCCCACAGGGACCACACACAGUACCAAACAGUAUGGUAUACAGGUACUGCACACAAGUGUGGCCCACAGUGCUGCACCCACACAGGUCCUGACCACUAGCACUGUACACGGUAUCAUGCACAGGUACUGCACACAGGUACUGCACAUAGUACCAAACAGUACUACAUAACGGCAUUCAACACAGUACUAAACAUAGUACCACACACCCAGUACCCCAUGAGUACUGCCCACAGGGACUGUAUACAGUACCACACACAGUACCGCACACAGUACUACUCUUAGGUACUAAACACAGUACUGCCCACAGGUACCAAACAGUACUGCCCACAGGUACUGUGCACAAUACCCAACAUGGUACUGCACACAUGUACUGUCCACAGGGACCACACACUGCACCACACACAGUGCUGCACUUAGGUACCAAACACAGUACCAAACAUAGUACUACACAGAUACCGAACAGUACUGCCCACUGGUACUGCACACAGUACCAAACACAGUACUGUACACAGGUACCACAUACAGUACUGAACAGCACGGCACACAGGCAUUAUGCACAGUACUGCAUAUAGGCAUCUCACACAGUACUGCACACAAGUAGUGCAUAGAAUACCAAACAUAGUACAGCAUGCAGUACUAAACACAGUACCACACACAACUGCUGCCCAUAGGGACUGCGUACAGUACCACAUACAGUACUGGACAUAGUACCACACACCCAGUACUGCACUUAGGUACCAAGCACAGUAUUGCACACAGGUACUGUACAUAGGUACUACACACAUUAUUAAACAGUACUGGACACAGGCAUCACACACAGUAUCAAACACAGUACUACAUACAGGCACUGUACACAGUACCAGAGUACUGCACAUAAGUAGUGCAUACAGUACGAAACACAGUAUUGCACACAGUACUAAACACAGUCCCACACACAGUACCACACACAGGUACCACACAUGGUACCAAACACAGUGGCACACACAGGCACUGCCAGUAGUUACUACAUACAGUACUACACACAGGUAUCACACAUGGUACCAAACAGUGGCACACACACCCACUGCCAAUAGGUACUGCAUACAGUACUGCACACAGGUGCUGAGAAGAGAUUGAGUCACAGCACCUGGGAGAGCAAUAAUUGAAUACUUGGAGGAUGUGUUUCCGUCUUUUCAUCAGCAGUUGUAGAGUCUUUUCUGUAGGGUGGGCAUGAGGCAUCUACAGGUAAAGAAAACAGGUGCAACCUGGAUCUCCAUGGAGCUAAGGAUAUGCUGGGGGAGGCAUGAAAAACAAGUAACACUUAAAAAUGAACGUAGAAUUGCAGAGGGUGAAAAGAGACUUCUGUCCGGAUCAGAUUUAUAUUUAGGCUGAGUGAGCCUUUCUGAGGACACAAUGCAUAGUCUCCAUAUGAUCUGGGAAGAUCUGAAGGCUUUAGCUGGGCCAGGGGGGAGGAUCAGGGACCUGUUUGUACUGAGGCUUUCUAAUCAGUAUUAAGGGGUGAAAUCUUUCAUUAUGGCGCUCCAAAUUUUUUUAAAUGAUAUAUUUAUUGAGAUGUAAUUUACAUAUUAUAAUAUUUACCCUUUUAAUGUAUACAGUUUGGAAUUGUGAAGCCCACAUCACUGUCUGAUUUUGGAACAUUUUUAUCACUGCUUCACCUCUCAAAGAAACCCUGUACUCAUUGGCAGUAUCUCCCAAAUUCCCUCAGGGAUCCUCUGCUGGGCUGACCCUGUGGAUAAGUGUUUGACAAAGCUGAACUUACUCAGUUUUGUUGUAUGUCUUUCUUUGAAGUUUACGUUUUCAUUUGCUAAUAAAAUUAUAAAACAAGGAAA